RNAcentral lists this ribosomal RNA (527 nucleotides) under Triticum aestivum (bread wheat). Its description in RNAcentral is "partial small subunit ribosomal RNA". Lineage: Eukaryota; Viridiplantae; Streptophyta; Magnoliopsida; Poales; Poaceae. The record is from RNAcentral.
CUCGCUCCGUGACCGCUCCGGUGACCCUCUAGAGGUGGCGGCGCGAGCGACGGGUGACGGUGAAGGACGAUGAGGAGAACCGCGAGCGACUCAUUGACCUCCUCUGCGCGGCUGGGCCAGAGCUGGAGGAGGAGUGCGACCGCUCUUCACGGCGGCGGCGGCGGGGGGCCGCUGGGGGUCGAGCGGCGGCAGCCGAUGCUCGAGGCAGCAACUGUUGGGCGGGGCCUAGGCCGGAGCCUAGAGGGAUAAAGCCGGCCAGGGGCGGUCCCGACGGAGCGGCCUCGGGGAGGGGUUCGUCGCGGCGGCAGGGACGGAGGACGAGCACGCGCUGCUCCCCUAGACCGUUCGGUCUACGACCGUACGCGCGCCUCCCACGCUCGCGCCUAGACGCCCGACGAUCGCGCCCACCCUCGGUACUCCUGCCUCUUUCUACAGGGGUUGCGCCAUCGAGCGACCCUCUCCUCCCCGCCGCCCUCCUCCACGGCCGACUGUGCCUCCUCCACCCCGCAAAACAGACAAAAACGCAA